AUACUUACCUAAUAGGAAGAUACCAUGAUCACAAAGGUGAUUUUCCCGGGCUGAGGCUUAUCCAUUACACUCCAGAUGUGCUGACACCUGCGAUUUCCCCAAAUGUGGGAAACUCAAACACAGAAUUUUUUUGUAGGGGAGAUUGUGUUUUCACUCUCCCUUA
This is a small nuclear RNA of Sorex fumeus (smoky shrew), 163 nucleotides long. RefSeq annotates it as U1 spliceosomal RNA. The transcript has a single exon. The record is from RefSeq and is a predicted model, not a curated record. Lineage: Eukaryota; Metazoa; Chordata; Mammalia; Eulipotyphla; Soricidae.